RNAcentral lists this transfer RNA (88 nucleotides) under Mycobacterium seoulense. RNAcentral's name for it is "tRNA-Ala". The record is from RNAcentral. Lineage: Bacteria; Bacillati; Actinomycetota; Actinomycetes; Mycobacteriales; Mycobacteriaceae.
CGGGAACCGGGGUGCUGGUCACGCCCGGCGCCGGCGUCGUCGCGGAUUUGUUCGCAGAGGUCAGGCCGAUCGUGACGGCGGUCCCGAC